This is a long non-coding RNA of Dinoponera quadriceps, 909 nucleotides long. RefSeq lists it as uncharacterized. The record is from RefSeq and is a predicted model, not a curated record. Lineage: Eukaryota; Metazoa; Arthropoda; Insecta; Hymenoptera; Formicidae. The transcript is spliced from 4 exons.
CAUGAGCCGCGUGCGUGCUCCGUACCGAUGCACCGCUGUUCCUUCAACAAAUAUAUAUACUCGCGGGAAUACGGAGGGAGAGAGAGAGUGUAUGAGAGAGAGAGAGAGAGAGAGAGAGAGAGAGAGAGAAAACCGAGCGCGCGAGCGUCGCCGUUACUCCGGAUUCGCUUCGAUCUGCUCUCGCGCGCGCUCUCUCGUAGCGGAGACGGACACCGAACAACGACUUCGUCAUCCCCGUUUACCUUUCGCGCAGCUUAAGCUCGGUAUACACUGAACGAACGAACAUGGAACGAACAGCAAACGCAAACUUUCGUUGUUGGAAAAUUGAAAAGUGCGUACGCCAUAAAUCCGGGACCAGCAACAGAUGUGUGCUUUAUCUAUACGUCAAUUGAGCUAAUGGAGGUACACGCAUAACCUGCAAAGGCGAUGCAAAUAUGGACACGCAUAAUAGGAAGUGAGGUUAUCAAAGAAAGUUCGUGCGCAUUCAAAUGCGAAUAUAUUACAUUCGCUGUUCGUUCGUUCGCUCAGUAUAUACCCACCUUUACAACGCUGGAUCCGGUAUUAUAUAAAUUCCAUUAUUAUUAUUAUUAUUAAAGAGAUAUUUGCGUCGCCUUUGCAGAUCAACUCGUUGGGAUAUGAUUAAACGAUUCAGUAUCUCGAAUAGGAUGAUGGAUGAUGCUAUCGCUAUACGUAAUAUAAUACGUAAUACUGAAGGUCAAGCGCUUUGAGAUUAACUGGCUUUGUUCGAAGUAUCAGAACUACUAAUGAUAUAUAAACUGGAGGAACUAUAGAAUUUGACGUUACUUUUCGCUGAUUUUUCCCGUCGUUUGGUGAGAACGCUGAAUCUAAACACCAUAAUACGAUUGCUUAAUUCGAUAUAUGGCAACUAAGUAAAGCAUACUCGUCGCA